CACAAAGAAAUAUGAAGGCCCCCUUUGGGGGGCUGAAUUAUUUUUUCACCCAUGUCUUUUGCGCACUUGUUGUUUCCUGGGCGGGUUCGCUCGCCACCAGGACCAAACCAUAAACCUUUUUUAUGCAGUUGCAAUCAGCGUCAGUAUAACAAAUGUUAAAUCAUUUA
This 167-nucleotide unclassified non-coding RNA is filed under the name uncultured Ascomycota. Its description in RNAcentral is "sequence contains ITS1". The record is from RNAcentral. Lineage: Eukaryota; Fungi; Ascomycota.